GGCGACGACGGGUAGCCGGCCUGAGAGGGUGACCGGCCACACUGGGACUGAGACACGGCCCAGACUCCUACGGGAGGCAGCAGUGGGGAAUAUUGCACAAUGGGCGGAAGCCUGAUGCAGCGACGCCGCGUGAGGGAUGACGGCCUUCGGGUUGUAAACCUCUUUCAGUAGGGAAGAAGCGAAAGUGACGGUACCUGCAGAAGAAGCGCCGGCUAACUACGUGCCAGCAGCCGCGGUAAUACGUAGGGCGCAAGCGUUGUCCGGAAUUAUUGGGCGUAAAGAGCUCGUAGGCGGUCUGUCGCGUCUGCUGUGAAAGCCCGGGGCUCAACCCCGGGUCUGCAGUGGGUACGGGCAGACUAGAGUGCAGUAGGGGAGACUGGAAUUCCUGGUGUAGCGGUGAAAUGCGCAGAUAUCAGGAGGAACACCGAUGGCGAAGGCAGGUCUCUGGGCUGUUACUGACGCUGAGGAGCGAAAGCAUGGGGAGCGAACAGGAUUAGAUACCCUGGUAGUCCAUGCCGUAAACGUUGGGCACUAGGUGUGGGGGACAUUCCACGUUCUCCGCGCCGUAGCUAACGCAUUAAGUGCCCCGCCUGG
Molecule: ribosomal RNA, 594 nt
Filed under: Kocuria sp. CMT808
Lineage: Bacteria; Bacillati; Actinomycetota; Actinomycetes; Micrococcales; Micrococcaceae
Description: bacterial SSU rRNA
Rfam family: Bacterial small subunit ribosomal RNA
Source: RNAcentral